Molecule: microRNA precursor, 146 nt
Filed under: Dasypus novemcinctus (nine-banded armadillo)
Lineage: Eukaryota; Metazoa; Chordata; Mammalia; Cingulata; Dasypodidae
Description: miRNA (ENSDNOG00000031211.1)
Rfam family: mir-23 microRNA precursor family (bases 58-130)
Source: RNAcentral
UCCCUCCUCCUUCCUCUCUCUCCGCAGGUGCCGGCUGCCCCGAGCUCUCUGUGCCACGGACGGCUGGGGUUCCUGGGGAUGGGAUUUGCUGUCGGUCACAAAUCACAUUGCCAGGGAUUUCCAACUGACCGUGAGCCCUACCUCCU